GCCUGGGUGGCAGGGCUGUGACUCACACCUGUAAUCCCAACACUUUGGGAGGCCAAGGCAAGAGGAUUGCUCAAGUCCAGGAGUUCUAGGCUACAGUGUACCAUGCCGAUCGGGUAUCUACACUAGGUUUGGCAUCAAUAUGGUAACCUCCCUGGUGCAGGGGUCCACUAGGUUGCCUAAGUAACUGAGCAGGUCAAAACUCUCAUGCUGAUCAGUGGUGGGAUCAUGCCUGUGAAUAGCCACUGCACUUCAGCCUGGGCAACAUAGUGAGACCCCAUCUCA
This 282-nucleotide signal recognition particle RNA is filed under the name Cebus imitator (Panamanian white-faced capuchin). RNAcentral describes it as "Metazoan signal recognition particle RNA (ENSCCAG00000011999.1)". It matches the Rfam family "Metazoan signal recognition particle RNA". From Rfam's summary of the family: The signal recognition particle (SRP) is a universally conserved ribonucleoprotein. It is involved in the co-translational targeting of proteins to membranes. The eukaryotic SRP consists of a 300-nucleotide 7S RNA and six proteins: SRPs 72, 68, 54, 19, 14, and 9. Lineage: Eukaryota; Metazoa; Chordata; Mammalia; Primates; Cebidae. The record is from RNAcentral.